UAUUAUAAUUUAUUUAAAUUGGGAGAUUAGAGUAGUAAUAGUUAAGAUCUUGAAACUCAAAGAAUUUGGCGGUAUUUUAGUCCUUUCAGAGGAAUCUGUCCUAUAAUUGACAGUACACGAUUUAUUGUACUUUCUUUUGUUUAUCAAUUUGUAUACCGCCGUCAUAAGAUUAUCUUUAAGAGGGUAUAAAAUUUCUUUAUUUUAUAUUGAUAAAAUAUGUCAGGUCAAGGUGCAGUUAAUGGGAAAGAAGGAGAUGGAUUACAAUAAUUAUAAUUAUAUGAAUACUUAAAUAUAUUAAUGGGUUGAAGGUGGAUUUGAUUGUAAAUUUGAUUUAUAAUAUUAAUUUGAUUAAGGCUCUAAAAUGUGCACACAUCGCCCGUCGCUCUCGUAGAUGUAUAUGAG
RNAcentral lists this ribosomal RNA (402 nucleotides) under Luzaridella clara. Its description in RNAcentral is "partial 12S ribosomal RNA". It matches the Rfam family "Microsporidia small subunit ribosomal RNA", at positions 752 to 1221 of the family's 1311-position model. Lineage: Eukaryota; Metazoa; Arthropoda; Insecta; Orthoptera; Phalangopsidae. The record is from RNAcentral.